CCUACGGGGGGCUGCAGUGGGGAAUAUUGGACAAUGGGCGAAAGCCUGAUCCAGCCAUGCCGCGUGUGUGAAGAAGGCCUUCGGGUUGUAAAGCACUUUCAGUGGGGAAGAAAGCCUUGGGGCUAAUACCCUCGAGGAAGGACAUCACCCACAGAAGAAGCACCGGCUAACUCCGUGCCAGCAGCCGCGGUAAUACGGAGGGUGCGAGCGUUAAUCGGAAUUACUGGGCGUAAAGCGCGCGUAGGUGGUCUGAUAAGCCGGUUGUGAAAGCCCCGGGCUCAACCUGGGAACGGCAUCCGGAACUGUCAGGCUAGAGUGCAGGAGAGGAAGGUAGAAUUCCCGGUGUAGCGGUGAAAUGCGUAGAGAUCGGGAGGAAUACCAGUGGCGAAGGCGGCCUUCUGGACUGACACUGACGCUGAGGUGCGAAAGCGUGGGUAGCAAACAGGAUUAGAUACCCGGGUAGUC
RNAcentral lists this ribosomal RNA (465 nucleotides) under Vreelandella stevensii. RNAcentral's name for it is "partial 16S ribosomal RNA". It matches the Rfam family "Bacterial small subunit ribosomal RNA", at positions 338 to 795 of the family's 1533-position model. The record is from RNAcentral. Lineage: Bacteria; Pseudomonadati; Pseudomonadota; Gammaproteobacteria; Oceanospirillales; Halomonadaceae.